Molecule: non-coding RNA, 106 nt
Organism: Agrilus planipennis (emerald ash borer)
Lineage: Eukaryota; Metazoa; Arthropoda; Insecta; Coleoptera; Buprestidae
Source: Rfam
AGGUAGAGGGGUUUUAGUCGGUAGCUUCGAGGACAUCUUUCUCGGGAAUCCGACACUACCCAGUCGUACGGACGGCUGGGUGUCUUUUGAAGAUUUCCCUUCUUCC